GUGCUUGCUUCAGCAGCACAUACACUAAAACUGGAAUGAUACAGAGAAGAUUAACAUUGCCCCUGCACAAGGAUGACACGCAUAUCCAUGAAGUGUUCCAUAUUUUU
Molecule: small nuclear RNA, 107 nt
Organism: Peromyscus eremicus (cactus mouse)
Lineage: Eukaryota; Metazoa; Chordata; Mammalia; Rodentia; Cricetidae
Source: RefSeq, a predicted model, not a curated record